Molecule: long non-coding RNA, 1551 nt
Organism: Zonotrichia albicollis (white-throated sparrow)
Lineage: Eukaryota; Metazoa; Chordata; Aves; Passeriformes; Passerellidae
Source: Ensembl
GUUCCUUUCCCUGGAAUUCCCAAUUUCCAAUCUCCCACCCAUCCCUGUGCCCUGUCCCUCCAUCCCUUGUCCCCAGCCCCUCCCCAGCUCUCCUGCAGGCUCCCUUUACCAGAAUCCCCAAUUCCCAAUCUCCCAUCCAUCCCUGUGUCCUGUCCCUCCCUGCCCUGUUCCCAGUCCCUCCCCAGCUCUCCUGCAGGCUCCUUUCCCUGGAAUUCCCAAUUUCCAAUCUCCCACCCAUCCCUGUGCCCUGUCCCUCCAUCUCUUGUCCCCAGUCCCUCCCCAGCUCUCCUGCAGGCUCCUUUCCCUGGAAUCCCCUCCCAGCCAGGAAUUCCCAAUCUCCCAUCCAUCCCUGUGCCCUGUCCCUCCAUCCCUUGUCCCCAGUCCCUCUCCAGCUCUCCUGGAGGCUCCCUUUACCAGAAUCCCCAAUUCCCAAUCUCCCACCCAUCCCUGUGUCCUGUCCCUCCAUCUCUUGUCCCCCAGUCCCUCUCCAGCUCUCCUGCAGGCUCCUUUCCCUGGAAUCCCCAAUUCCCAAUCUCCCAUCCAUGUCCCUGUGUCCUGUCCUUCCAUCCCUUGUCCUCAGUCCCUCCCCAGCUCUCCUGUAGGUUCCUUUCCCUGGAAUUCCCAAUCCCCAACCUCCCAUCCAUCCCUGCCCUGUCCCUGUGUCCUGUCCCUCCAUCCCUUGUCCCCAGCCCCUCCCCAGCUCUCCUGCAAAGGAAUCCCCAAUUCCCAAUCUCCCACCCAUCCCUGUCCCUCCAUCCCUUGUCCCCAGCCCCUCCCCACCUCUCCUGCAGGCUCCUUUCCCUGGAAUCCCCAAUUCCCAAUCUCCCACCCAUCCCUGCCCUGUCCCAGCCCCUGCUCCCCUGCAGGGUGCCCAGNCAGCCCCUCCUCAGCCUCCCAGGGAGGAAUUCCUUCCCAGUGUCCCAUCUCAAUCUCUCCUUGAGUUUAAAAUCAUUCCCCUUUGUCCUGGCACUCCAGCUCCUUGUUCAAGGUCCUUCUCCUGUAGGUUCCUUUCCCUGGAAUUCCCAAUUCCCAAUCUCCCACCCAUCCCUGCCCUGUGGCAGUGGGAGCCAUUCCCUGGGUCCUGUCCCCAGCCCCUCCCCAGCUCUCCUGGAGGCUCCCUUUACCAGAAUCCCCAAUUCUCAACCUCCCACCCAUCCCUGUCCUGUUCCCAGUCCCUCCCCAGCUCUCCUGCAGGCUCCUUUCCCUGGAAUCCCCAACCUUCCAUCCUUUGUCCCCAGUCCCUCUCUAGCAGGCUCCCUCCACUGGAACCCCCAAUUCCCAAUCUCCCACCCAUCCCUGUGUCCUGUCCCUCCAUCCCUUGUCCCCAGUCCCUCCCCAGCUCUCCUGCAGGCUCCCUUUACCAGAAUCCCCAAUUCCCAAUCUCCCACCCAUCCCUGUCCCGUUCCCAGUCCCUCCCCAGCUCUCCUGGAGGCUCCUUUCCCUGGAACCCCCUCCCAGCCAAGAAUUCCCAAUCUCCCAUCCAUCCCUGCCCUGUCCCUGUGCCCUGUCCUUCCAUCCCUUGUCCCCAGUCCCUCUCCAGCUCUCCUGUAG